Molecule: ribosomal RNA, 253 nt
Filed under: uncultured bacterium
Lineage: Bacteria
Description: partial 16S ribosomal RNA
Rfam family: Bacterial small subunit ribosomal RNA
Source: RNAcentral
UACGUAGGUGGCAAGCGUUGUCCGGAUUUACUGGGCGUAAAGGGCGUGCAGGCGGUCUGUUAAGUCUAGGGUGAAAGCUCCCGGCUCAACUGGGAGAGGUCCUUGGAUACUGGCGGACUUGAGGGAGGCAGAGGAAAGUGGAAUUCCCGGUGUAGUGGUGAUAUGCGUAGAUAUCGGAAGGAACAUCAGUGGCGAAGGCGACUUCCUGGACCAAUACUGACGCUCAGGUGCGAAAGCGUGGGGAGCAAACAGG